AAGGAAUAUUGGUCAAUGGGCGCAAGCCUGAACCAGCCAUGCCGCGUGCAGGAAGACGGCCCUAUGGGUUGUAAACUGCUUUUGAACAAGAGAAAACCUCGGUACGUGUACCGAGCUGAUAGUAUUGUUAGAAUAAGCAUCGGCUAACUUCGUGCCAGCAGCCGCGGUAAGACGAAGGAUGCAAGCGUUAUCCGGAUUCAUUGGGUUUAAAGGGUGCGUAGGCGGACCGAUAAGUCAGUGGUGAAAUCUCUCAGCUUAACUGAGAAACUGCCAUUGAUACUGUUGGUCUAGAGUAUAGAUGAUGUGGGCGGAAUAUGACAUGUAGUGGUGAAAUACUUAGAUAUGUCAUAGAACACCGAUUGCGAAGGCAGCUCACAAAACUAUAACUGACGCUGAGGCACGAAAGUGCGGGGAUCAAAC
Molecule: ribosomal RNA, 420 nt
Filed under: uncultured bacterium
Lineage: Bacteria
Description: bacterial SSU rRNA
Rfam family: Bacterial small subunit ribosomal RNA
Source: RNAcentral